This 119-nucleotide ribosomal RNA is filed under the name Pteropus alecto (black flying fox). The record is from RNAcentral. Lineage: Eukaryota; Metazoa; Chordata; Mammalia; Chiroptera; Pteropodidae.
GUCUACAGCCAUGCUUCUCUGAACACGCCUGAUCCCAUCUGAUCUCGGAAGCUAAGCAGGGUCGGGCCUGGUUAGUACUUGGAUGGGAGACCACCUAGGAAGAUCAGGUGCUAUAGGCA